Molecule: unclassified non-coding RNA, 219 nt
Filed under: fungal sp.
Lineage: Eukaryota; Fungi
Description: partial internal transcribed spacer region
Rfam family: Eukaryotic small subunit ribosomal RNA (bases 1-46)
Source: RNAcentral
AAGUCGUAACAAGGUUUCCGUAGGUGAACCUGCGGAAGGAUCAUUACCAAUAAUUUUAAAUUUCAACCCAUGUGCACUGUGAAUGUAUUGUCUUGGUUUUUGGGGUGGGCAUAGGUUCACCUCAACCAUUUUGUUAAACUACUGUUUAUAUUGACAUGGCAUCGUAAUUGUCUUAAUAAAUAUUAUGACAACUUUUAACGGUGGAUCUCUUGGCUCGUG